AGAGAGAGACAUGCGCGCAUAUCAAUAAGCGGAGGAAAAGAAACUAACAAGGAUUCCCUUAGUAACGGCGAGUGAAGCGGGAAGAGCUCAAAUUUGAAAUCUUCAAGGUUUUACCUUGACGAAUUGUAGUUUAAAGAAGUGUUUUCUGCUGAAGUCUUGGUAAAAGUUCUUUGGAAUAGGACAUCAUAGGGGGUGAGAAUCCCGUAUUUGACCAUUAUUUUCAGCUUUGUGAUACACUUUCAAAGAGUCGGAUUGUUUGGGAAUGCAGUCCAAAAUGGGUGGUAAAUUUCAUCUAAAGCUAAAUAUUGGCGAGAGACCGAUAGCGAACAAGUACCGUGAGGGAAAGAUGAAAAGAACUUUGAAAAGAGGAGUUAAACAGUACGUGAAAUUGUCAAAAGGGAAGCGUUUGACACCAGUGUUGUUUUCUCGAAAAUCAAUUAAAAAUGGCUCGAUUUUGUAUUGCUUGAGACCUUAAAAGCUCACUGUACAUUUUUCGUGUCUUUUUUAAUGCACUUUUCGUUUAACAAGUCAACAUCAGUUUCUUUUGUUGUAAAAGGGUCAUUGGAAGGUGGCUUUCUUUUCGGAGAAAGUGUUUAUAGCCUUUGGCCUCUGCAAUCGGAGAGACUGAGGUCUGCAGCGUAGACUCUUCGGGGUUAGAUAUAUUUGUGCUAAGUUAUAGCUUUUUAUAGACAACUUGUUGACUAUAAUUAGUCUUGUAGCUUACUCGCUUAUGCUAUUUUACCUACGCUUAGGAUGUUGAAGAUGUAGCACAUCAU
RNAcentral lists this ribosomal RNA (776 nucleotides) under uncultured Neocallimastigales. RNAcentral describes it as "partial large subunit ribosomal RNA". It matches the Rfam family "Eukaryotic large subunit ribosomal RNA", at positions 23 to 620 of the family's 3401-position model. Lineage: Eukaryota; Fungi; Neocallimastigomycota; Neocallimastigomycetes; Neocallimastigales. The record is from RNAcentral.